GCUGGGGAUGCAGCUCAGUGGUAGAGCACUUGCCUGGCAUGCAGUGGCCCUGGAUUCAAUUCCCAAUACUGCA
Molecule: transfer RNA, 73 nt
Filed under: Marmota monax (woodchuck)
Lineage: Eukaryota; Metazoa; Chordata; Mammalia; Rodentia; Sciuridae
Description: tRNA.Ala
Source: RNAcentral